AGAUUUCUUAACUAUAAAAGUAUGUAUUUUGAAAAUAUAAAAAAGAAGUUUUUCUAGAAAUCUA
This 64-nucleotide transfer RNA is filed under the name Argas africolumbae. RNAcentral's name for it is "tRNA-Ser". Lineage: Eukaryota; Metazoa; Arthropoda; Arachnida; Ixodida; Argasidae. The record is from RNAcentral.